RNAcentral lists this ribosomal RNA (253 nucleotides) under uncultured bacterium. Its description in RNAcentral is "partial 16S ribosomal RNA". It matches the Rfam family "Bacterial small subunit ribosomal RNA", at positions 524 to 776 of the family's 1533-position model. The record is from RNAcentral.
UACGUAGGGGGCAAGCGUUGUCCGGAUUUAUUGGGCGUAAAGAGCGUGUAGGCGGCCAUGCAGGUCCGUUGUGAAAACUCGAGGCUCAACCUCGAGACGCCGGUGGAAACCGUAUGGCUAGAGUCCGGAAGAGGAGAGUGGAAUUCCUGGUGUAGCGGUGAAAUGCGCAGAUAUCAGGAAGAACACCCGUGGCGAAGGCGGCUCUCUGGGACGUGACUGACGCUGAGACGCGAAAGCGUGGGGAGCAAACAGG